RNAcentral lists this ribosomal RNA (463 nucleotides) under Vreelandella stevensii. RNAcentral's name for it is "partial 16S ribosomal RNA". It matches the Rfam family "Bacterial small subunit ribosomal RNA", at positions 340 to 795 of the family's 1533-position model. Lineage: Bacteria; Pseudomonadati; Pseudomonadota; Gammaproteobacteria; Oceanospirillales; Halomonadaceae. The record is from RNAcentral.
CUCGGGAGGCUGCAGUGGGGAAUAUUGGACAAUGGGCGAAAGCCUGAUCCAGCCAUGCCGCGUGUGUGAAGAAGGCCUUCGGGUUGUAAAGCACUUUCAGUGGGGAAGAAAGCCUUGGGGCUAAUACCCUCGAGGAAGGACAUCACCCACAGAAGAAGCACCGGCUAACUCCGUGCCAGCAGCCGCGGUAAUACGGAGGGUGCGAGCGUUAAUCGGAAUUACUGGGCGUGAAGCGCGCGUAGGCGGUCUGAUAAGCCGGUUGUGAAAGCCCCGGGCUCAACCUGGGAACGGCAUCCGGAACUGUCAGGCUAGAGUGCAGGAGAGGAAGGUAGAAUUCCCGGUGUAGCGGUGAAAUGCGUAGAGAUCGGGAGGAAUACCAGUGGCGAAGGCGGCCCUCUGGACUGACACUGACGCUGAGGUGCGAAAGCGUGGGUAGCAAACAGGAUUAGAUACCCCUGUAGUC